AUUCUACAAUGUUAUUGGAUAUUAUCAAAUCACUUAAACAACACUCUUGUGAUGUUACUACAAUGAAGAAUUCUGUGAUCAUUUACUAGGUUUCUACAACACUCUGUGAUAGAUAUGACUAAUGUGAAUAAAGCCAUUUGUAGCUUCCAAAAAACUCCCUAAAAAUUCAUUUAAUUUCUUAUGCCGACCUGUGAAAGAUGUGGAAGGGAUACCUAUCCUACUUUAAGGUCUGCAAAACAAUUCACAUUAUCUCAUUUGAUCCUCACAGCAACUACCUAAGGCCAACAAAAAUGAAAAAACAUCUCCUCUUUUCAUCUGUUCCCUUAAAGCGCAGCACGGACCAAGCAGAUCGAUAUUUCAAUAUUAAGCUAUGGGAUAAAUUUCUGAUUUUAAACAUGCACCAAAACAUAUCGAACAAUGAGAAGGCAAGUCGCUUUAACCUUCUGGAACUCAAUUCCUUCAACCUCUCUGGUUCUCAGCUUCUCCAAUGGAAGAUGAAGAAACUUGACAGGAUGAAGUCCAAGCACUCAUUUCCAAAUCCAGGAUCAUAUUAGCUGUGUAAGCCUGAUAAAGUUCCAACCUCCUCUUUUCAAUUUUCUCAUCUAUAUGGGAAUCAAAAUACUUAUAGUGCUUAUUUAGUCAGAGGCAAAAAUUCUUAGUUAAGGGAAAAAACCUGUAACAGCAGUAGCAACAUAACUAGCAUUUUUAUAGUAAUUCAAGAUUUGCACAGUCCUUUGUAAAUAAAACAACUCUGGGAGGUAGGUGUUGGUUUUAU
RNAcentral lists this long non-coding RNA (775 nucleotides) under Monodelphis domestica (gray short-tailed opossum). RNAcentral's name for it is "lncRNA (ENSMODG00000030837.2)". The record is from RNAcentral. Lineage: Eukaryota; Metazoa; Chordata; Mammalia; Didelphimorphia; Didelphidae.